AAGCUCGUAGUUGAAUUUCGGGUUCUACCGUUGGUCGGGCUAACCAGUCUGUACUAGCGUGUAGAACUCCUACCUUCUGGGGAACCAUCAUGUUAUUAAUUUAGCGUGGUGGGAAACCAGGACCUUUACCUUGAAAAAAAUUAGAGUGUUCAAAGCAGGCUUACGUCUGAAUACAUUAGCAUGGAAUAAUAAAAUAGGACGGUGGUCCUGUUUUGUUGGUUUCUGAAUCACCGUAAUGAUUAAUAGGGAUAGUUGGG
RNAcentral lists this ribosomal RNA (257 nucleotides) under uncultured Scutellospora. RNAcentral's name for it is "partial 18S ribosomal RNA". It matches the Rfam family "Eukaryotic small subunit ribosomal RNA", at positions 624 to 886 of the family's 1831-position model. Lineage: Eukaryota; Fungi; Glomeromycota; Glomeromycetes; Diversisporales; Gigasporaceae. The record is from RNAcentral.